This is a long non-coding RNA of Amphiprion ocellaris (clown anemonefish), 1129 nucleotides long. RefSeq lists it as uncharacterized. Lineage: Eukaryota; Metazoa; Chordata; Actinopteri; Pomacentridae. The record is from RefSeq and is a predicted model, not a curated record. The transcript is spliced from 6 exons.
GUGCAGUGAUUGGCCGCCGUCCCGUACGUGUGCGAGGGCCAGCUGAGCGGCGUGUCGAGCUCGAGUCGGGCUGUUGGUGUGGCGAAGGAUCAGGUCUCCUAGAGAGGGCUUCCGACUCUUCACUGGAGGACAAAACAGUGUUUGUUGUUCACCUUUGCCCCAGAAUGCUCCGUCCUCGUCCCGCUCAGCAGAAGAGGCGUUCAGCCGGCAGCACUCUGGGAUCAGCGACAGGAACUUGUCUGCAGACUUUCCAUACAGCCCACGCGCCGCCCACACAGCCGAGUUCAUCCGAGGGCCUCAAGGCUGCAUCACAAACACACACAUAUGCAUGCAUACACACCCUGGAGUUGCUGCUGAUGCGCGUGAGCAGCGUGUCCAGGAUGGUGUCGUUGUCGUGGCGAUGCAGCAGGAUGAAGCGCAGGAAGGUUUUGAGGAGGGAAGUCUCCGUCACACUGCGCAGGAAAAGAUCCAGGGCAGGACCCAUGACCGGUACAAGGAAGCCGUUGUGGAGGUAGUCCAGGAGCUGAGAGCGGACCAGGGGGUGGGCGACCUGCACCACGGCGUUGCAGAACUCCAGCGAGUUCAUGAAGAGCACGAGCGACGACACGCCCAUCCAGUCCUCCCGCCGUAGGGCAUGCCAGUCAUCCCCUCGGACUUCAAUCUUCCUGGGCAGAGAGGAGUAGAGAGCGCUGAGGCCCGUCGCCAGCACCUGAGGAGAGGCAGACAGGUUUCAGAAGUACGAGUUCUCAGCGAUGUAUCGUGCCACGGCCUCAUGGCUGGCUGAGGCCGCCAUCACCAGCAGCAGAGCGUCUCGGGCCUGCUGUCCGAUGGCUCCGUCCCGGUGGAUGAACGGCACCAGGAGGGAGAAGAUCAGCAGGUUGGUGGAGCCCUGCUGGGCCGGUGCAGCCCGGAACAACAUCUCUAGGACCACCGGCUGCCGGGCCAUGGACACGCAGACCUGAUGGGGAGCAGCAGGGUGUCAGUGAAUGAAAUGAUCAAACUGGACUGAAUGUGGAACCUGAACAAAGAUGAGUUUGACUCCCUGUACUAGAGUACACAUCAGAGAGGACUGCAGGUUUUCAUGUACCUGGUUGAGCAGCAGCACCAGACUGUUCUCCAGAGCCGAAGG